UACUUGGCUGUUUUGAAGAAGAAGAAGAAAAAAACAAUAACGACGUCAUCUCUCUAUAAUGCCGUAAGCAUACAGACCAACUUC
Molecule: small RNA, 84 nt
Filed under: Arabidopsis thaliana (thale cress)
Lineage: Eukaryota; Viridiplantae; Streptophyta; Magnoliopsida; Brassicales; Brassicaceae
Description: ATSL253690
Source: RNAcentral